RNAcentral lists this long non-coding RNA (828 nucleotides) under Marmota monax (woodchuck). Lineage: Eukaryota; Metazoa; Chordata; Mammalia; Rodentia; Sciuridae. The record is from RNAcentral.
UUCUUCUCAAUUUGAAUAUUAGAAUUUUAUGGCAAUGAUUUUGAGUUCUGCUCUUUAAACCUAAUGUUGUGUCAGGAGUGUUUUCUCACAUACUUAAAUAUUCACCUAAAUCCUGUUUUAGGGGCUGGAUGUGCAGCAGUUGAACCAGCCAGUUCAACUGGGUUCAGAUUGUACACAAAUUUCAUAAGCAAUGUGGUCUGUAAGGUUUUGCUCUCUCCUGAUUAUUUCUUUUGGAGAUAAUCUUGGAGUAAGCGGAGUUAUUGAGUUUGAGGGUAGGCAGACGGCCUGUGAAUUGGUCCCUGAAAAUCCCCACCUGCAGGUGUUCCUGUCUGUGCAAUCCCUCCCCCUUGGGUGUGUGCUCAGGUGACGCUUUGGGCAUUGCUCUGAGAAUUAAUUAGGGAGCAAACAACUCUGACUUGCAUCUUGCUAUGCUCUCUUCUGGUUUGCUUUGAGGGGAGUCGACAUUCCUGUUGUGGGCUGCCCUAUGCGGAGGCCACAUGGCCAGGAACUGAGGGUGCCCUCAGCCAGCAGCUACAAGGACCUGGGGCUUUUGGUCUUUGUGGUGGGUAAGUGAGUUUGGAAGAGGACUUCCACGGUCGGGCCUCCAGCUGAGACACAGCCUGAGAAAGCCGUACAGGCUGAGUUUGUCUUCCCCUGCCCCGCAGAUUCAAUUUCAGCGGUGCCAACAGGUCAGUUUCAGCAGGGGACACUGCUGACCGCCAGGGCCCCAGAACACACCCUCGUUCUGAACAGCUCUGCCUUGGAGAGUCCAGCCAGGGCGCGUGGACGGUUCCCUGACAAUCCUAGUCCAGGGAAGCAUCCCAGGGU